AUCUUAGGAAGAAGAAAAGAAUCAUUGCUCAUCCUGAUGGUUUACCUCUCCUUACUCUCCGCGAAAAGACACUUUCAUGGCGUAAUACGUGGAAAGUUUAUCGUGCUGAGAGUUCAGACAUAAACGAUCUGCUCUACACAGUCAAAAGAUCAAGCACAUUCCAAAUGAAAAUGCAACUUGAUGUGUUCUUGGCUAGCAAUAUCAAUGGAGAGUUAUGUGAUUUCCAUGUAAAGGGAUCUUUCACCAAUCAAUCUUUCAAAGUUUACAAAGGGGACACUUUGAUUGCUGAGGUGAAAGAGAGAUUCAAACUUGGAAGUUUCUUCAAAGGAAGAGAGAAUUUUGAAGUGAGA
This 350-nucleotide unclassified non-coding RNA is filed under the name Hevea brasiliensis (rubber tree). Lineage: Eukaryota; Viridiplantae; Streptophyta; Magnoliopsida; Malpighiales; Euphorbiaceae. The record is from RNAcentral.